UUCACAUGCCGGGAAUCGAACCCGGGCCUUCUGGGUGAAAGCCAGAUUUGCUAGCCACUAGACCACGUGGGA
Molecule: transfer RNA, 72 nt
Filed under: Cordylochernes scorpioides
Lineage: Eukaryota; Metazoa; Arthropoda; Arachnida; Pseudoscorpiones; Chernetidae
Description: tRNA-Glu
Source: RNAcentral